CACGCGGCUUUGCCAGAGUGGUACCUCUGCAGCUGGGGCUAGAGAAUCACUGUGCAGCUUUGGCAAAGAGCACCACGUGGCUCUGGCAGAGUAGGGGAUACCCGCAGCCAUGUGAGGAGAGGGAACCACGGGGCUGUGGCAGCGCAGAGAGAAAGCCACUCGCUUCUGGCAGAGUGGGGACCCCUGCAGCCAUGUGAAGGAAAGAACCAUGCGGCUUUGCCAGAGUGGCGACCCUACCUUCCCCGCAGCUCUGGUGAAGGAAAGAAGACACUUUGCCUGGAAAAAAGGUGAAAGAACUCUUUGCCAGUGGACCAUGAGAAGGUGCAACAUGACUUUGGAGAUCCUGCCUGGAUGGCGACACAGCUGAUGGUGCCAGCAACCUGAAGCACAGAUGUUUGCUUCUCUUCCUGAGAUACGGACCAGAUCACCGGCCCUUGAGGGCUGGCACCCUGACCUGCUGAUCCCUGUAUCCCCGCACUGCGCCUAGGACUCGGUAAGUGUCUGCUGGAGGAACUGAGUCAAGAGUGCACUGCUGGCCAACCCCAUCGUCUCUCUCGGAAAUGCCCAGGGUUCCCUUGAGAAGUGUGCCUUUUCGUAGCCAACCCAACGGACGGACUCCAGACAGUGACUGACGGAAGAGAAGGAAAUGGCCAGAAAGGGCAAGAGGGAGGAUUCAAUGAACCAUGAUUAAGGAUGAGUUACUUUCAGUGAUACCGGGAGGGGGCCGAGGAGGUGAGAGCAAACUGGGUGUGUGCUCAUGCUUGUCCUAGGUGGAUGCUGGUGAUGGGGGCAGCGGGUUUGUCUCCCUGCUCUAUUUACGCACGUAUCUGACAUUUUUGUGGUGAAAAGAUUUGAAGACAAAGGCCGAGGAGGAGGAGAAGCAGCAGGUUUGCAGACUCAGAGGAGGCUCCAGGAGAGGGGUACGAGGGCCAGGGUCAGGAUAAGAGUCUCCCUCCACGGGGGGCCACCUUCGCGGCGGCAGCACCCCUGCCCUCCAAGCACCUCUCCUCCUGUGCUUCCACGCCUCCACAUUCAUGUCUGCGGCUCCCCAACCCAUCGAGUCUGGAACAUCCCAGAUGGGAACAGGAGGCCCUCAGAACCGGCUCUACUUCAACUAAUUGUCACAUGUGCAGGAGGGCAACCCCUCGUCCACGCAUGAUAAGGCGCAACAGGUCUCCUGGGGCAGAAAGCCCUGGACGUUACUUAAAUCACACCAAGCAGUGCCCUCUACAUGCAAGGACACACCUCAGGUUGUAGGGGCCACCUGGGUAGAAGUUUCCGUACUCUGGGAGCCUUCCUGGGGCUGUGGGGGCCCGUGCAGACCACCCCCACCAGGGCUGUGCUUGGGGACACACAGGGUGCUCCCUGCAGCUGGGAUUUGCCCAUGGGUCGCUGUGGUCAGACAAUGAGCGGCCGCCACGCACCAAGCACUGAGCUGAUUUCAUACACAGGUCUUUCCACGGCAGUCCCAGCACCCACACGGGGUUAGGGGUGAACAAGCCCGAGCCCCUCCCACAGAAGAGCUGAAGUUCCUCCUCCCAUUCCUGGUGCCCUCUCUUUCCUACCACCAGGCAGUGGAAGGAAUGAUAUUUGUAAUGGAGAUGAGGCCCCUCCUUGUGCGCGAUGCUGACAGACGAGAGGAAGAUUCCGGAGAGAAAUGCCACAGCAGCAGAUGAACACAAAUGGCGCUUUUCCACUUGGUGCGUAUAAAACGCCUGUUGUACCCGGAUCUCAAAGGUCUCCAGGACGCAAGGCCCUGACCAGCACUCACGCAGGGUAAAUGUGAAGGGAAGAAAGUCCAGGCGUUGGUCCCAUGCAAUGGUCUCGCCUUCUGGGUAGGAAAACAAAAGUGUGCAGAUGGAUAAUGACAUCUGUGGAUUCUGGCUUCAUGUCUUAAAUGGGAAAAAUGUAAAUAAAUGUGUAAAAAAUUGUCAUAUGUGGGUAAUACCCGUGGUUCAUCUGGUAGUUACCAUUCUGCCCAAGACUUGCCCGCGAUGGAUUCUGUCGCUGGGAGCCCUGUGACUGCAUUACACUGAGAACAUAAAAUCCAGCUCUUUGAUGCCCACGAGGAAGACGAGUGUUACAGAGAUGUUCCGCAAAGAGGUCCCGGCAGAGGCCAGUGGAGACACUUGCUGCUUUUGCACUAAGCGAUGCAUUCCUUUUGUUCCCUCCACCGGAAGCCUCCUUAUAAAUGCUUAAUCGCUAAAAGAUUCAUUGGAGUCUGCAAAGGCCAAGCCCUUAUCUGGAAAGGCUGAGAGAACCCACAAGCAGCGCCUGACCAUGGCAUUGAUUUGAAGGUUCAUUCAGGAAUUCUUUCCUUCUCACUCUUUGCCGAAGGUGCAAGCUCAGCGUGAACAAUAAUGCCUGGGCUCCAGCCACCAGUGAGGUGCCUGAGGAGCAGACGCCUGUGACUUUGAAACUGUUCCUAGGAGUCACAGAGGGUAAUAAUCAGCUCUGGGGGAUAAACCUCACAAAGGCCUUAAGAACGGUUCUGCGAAAGCGAUGCUCUGCAGAGACGUCACUUGCCUUGUAUUCUGAAAGUCACCCGUGGGCCUUGCUUGCAAAAGAAUCCAAAUGCCUCUGGGUAUCUAGACUGCAUUGCUCCCAUCUAAAGACAGAUGUGAUUGGUUCAGAUAAUGCGGAAUCUCUCCUCCAGCUCAAAACAUCUAGGACCGGGAGUCAGGAGCUCAGGGCCUUUCAAGGUCCAGCGCGGAGCACACAGCAAGGCUGGGUAGGUGUGUGACACCAGGCCAUGCAGCGACACCGACCGCAGGAGCCCCAUCCAACAGUUUCCUGAUGGGUCCCCUUUCACGUGGUGCUGUUCGGGGACUCGGAGGGCCCUAGGCACAUCUGUCUGACAUACUGUUUUCCUGGAUAGCUUUCUAAAAAGAUUUUUAAUUUUGCUUUGGAACAUACUGUAUGCUGCGGGCUGUAUCAAUUUAUCAUUGAUUGGGGUCUCUCUGAAAUCAUCAUGCAUGCUGGGAGCAUUUUUGUAAUAAAAGAAAGUCUAACCUACAAAUUUUAGAAUAGAACUGCAAUACUGACUUUAAUAAUUAAAGACUUUG
Molecule: long non-coding RNA, 3065 nt
Organism: Artibeus jamaicensis (Jamaican fruit-eating bat)
Lineage: Eukaryota; Metazoa; Chordata; Mammalia; Chiroptera; Phyllostomidae
Exons: 3
Source: RefSeq, a predicted model, not a curated record